UGGGACAAAUGAUUGGGGUGAAGUCGUAACAAGGUAGCCGUAUCGGAAGGUGCGGCUGGAUCACCUCCUUU
Molecule: ribosomal RNA, 71 nt
Filed under: Staphylococcus aureus
Lineage: Bacteria; Bacillati; Bacillota; Bacilli; Caryophanales; Staphylococcaceae
Also listed under: 4 other names
Description: partial 16S ribosomal RNA
Rfam family: Bacterial small subunit ribosomal RNA
Source: RNAcentral